GUUUGAUCAUGGCUCAGAUUGAACGCGUUUGAUCCUGGCUCAGAUUGAACGCUGGCGGCAGGCCUGACACAUGCAAGUCGAACGGUAGCACAGAGGAGCUUGCUCCUUGGGUGACGAGUGUCGGACGGGUGAGUAAUGUCUGGGAAACUGCCCGAUGGAGGCGGAUAACUACUGGAAACGGUAGCUAAUACCGCAUAACGUCGCAAGACCCAAAGAGCGGGGACCUUCGGCCCUCUUGCCAUCGGAUGUGCCCAGAUGGGAUUAGCUAGUAGGUGGGGUAACGGCUCACCUACGCGACGAUCCCUACUGGUCUGAGAGGAUGACCAGCCACACUGGAACUGAGACACGGUCCAGACUCCUACGGGAGGCAGCAGUGGGGAAUAUUGCACAAUGGCGCGCAAGCCUGAUGCGCCAUGCCGCGUGUAU
Molecule: ribosomal RNA, 426 nt
Filed under: uncultured bacterium
Lineage: Bacteria
Description: bacterial SSU rRNA
Rfam family: Bacterial small subunit ribosomal RNA
Source: RNAcentral